AAUCAAGCCUGGGCAAUGGCGGGUGCCCCUCCUCCAGCCUCGCUGCCGCCUUGCAGUUUGAUCUCAGACUGCUGUGCUAGCAAUCAGCGAGACUCCGUGGGCGUAGGACCCUCUGAGCCAGGUGUGGGAUAUAAUCUCGUGGUGCGCCGUUUUUUAAGCCCGUCGGAAAAGCACAGUAUUCGGGUGGGAGUGACCCGAUUUUCCAGUUUCAAACAUCUUCAAGGCAGAAACGUGUUGUAUUUGCAUGCUGUUUAGAAGGCAGUGUACUGAAUAGUACCAGUUUUUUCAGAGACAAAUAUGGUGUACUUAUUUGAAAAGAAAGGAUGAUACACAUACAUAGCCAUCCAAAAAAUCCUGCAACCAGUAGCAAAUUAUAUUACACAUUGGACACAUCCUAAAUGAUGCAAGGUUGCUAAUUCUCUCUGUUGGUAAUAUCUUUUGAUGCUGUUGUGUCCAGAAUUGAUUCAUUCCUGUGGGUUCUUGGUCUCACUGACUUCAAGAAUAAAGCUGCGGACCCUAGUGGUGAGUGUUACACUUCUUAUAGAUGGUGUUUCCGGAGUUUGUUCCUUCAGAUGUGUCCAGAGUUUCUUCCUUCCAAUGGGUUCAUGGUCUUGCUGACUUCAGGAAUGAAGCCGCAGACCUUCGCAGUGAGGUUUACAGCUCUUAAAGGUGGCGUGUCCAGAGUUGUUUGUUCCCCCUGGUGGGUUCGUGGUCUUGCUGACUUCAGGAAUGAAGCCGCAGACCCUCGCAGUGAGUGUUACAGCUCAUAAAGGUAGUGCGGACACAGAGUGAGCUGCAGCAAGAUUUACUGUGAAGAGCAAAAGAACAAAGCUUCCACAGCAUAGAAGGACACCCCAGCGGGUUCCUGCUGCUGGCUCAGGUGGCCAGUUAUUAUUCCCUUAUUUGGCCCUGCCCACAUCCUGCUGAUUGGUCCAUUUUACAGAGUACUGAUUGGUCCAUUUUACAGAGUGCUGAUUGGUGCAUUUACAAUCCUUUAGCUAGACACAGAGUGCUGAUUGCUGCAUUCUUACAGAGUGCUGAUUGGUGCAUUUACAGUCCUUUAGCUAGAUACAGAACGCUGAUUGCUGCGUUUUUUACAGAGUGCUGAUUGGUGCAUUUACAAUCCUUUAGCUAGACACAGUGCUGAUUGGUGGGUUUUUACAGAGUGCUGAUUGGUGCGUCUUUACAGAGUGCUGAUUGGUGCAUUUACAAUCCUUUAGCUAGACACAGAGUGCUGAUUGGUGCGUUUAUAAUCCUCUAGCUAGACAGAAAAGUUUUCCAAGUCCCCACCUGACCGAGAAGCCCCACUGGCUUCACCUCUCACUGUUAUACUUUGGACAUUUGUCCCCCCAAAAUCUCAUGUUGAAAUGUAACCCCUAAUGUUGGAACUGAGGCCAGACUGGAUGUGGCUGGGCCAUGGGGAUCUAUCCGUCAUGAAAGACUUAGUGCCCUCUCCACAGUAAUGAGUGAGUUUCCACUCUAUAAGUUCAUGUAAGAGCUGGUUGUUUAAAAGAACCUGGCAUCUCCCUUUUGCUCCCUCUCUCUUGCCAUGUGAUGUGCCUGCUCCCCAUUUGCCUUCUGCCAUGAUUGAAAGUUUCCUGAGGCCUCACUAGAAGCAAAUGCUGGUGCCGUACUUCUUGUACAGCCUGCAAAACUGUGAGUGAAAUAAACCUCUCAUCUUUAUAAAUUUCCCAGCCUCAGCUAUUUCUUUAUAACAACAUAAAACAGAUUAACACAGAUGCACAAUUUUUAAAAAUUUUAUAAGAAAAAAUUUGUCUCUUUUUUCUUGUGUUAUCUGUGCCUUUGGUAUCAUAUCUAAGAAAACACUGACAAAUCUAAUGUAGUAAAUCUUUUGCCCUAUAUUUUCUAGUAAGUUUUUUUUUAGUUUUAGGUCUUACGUAUAUACUUUUGAUCUAUUUUGAGUUAAUUCUUGUACAUGGCUUUAGAUAAAGAUCUAUCUCCAUUCUUUUGUAUGAGCAUAUCUGAUUUUCCCAGCACUAUUUUUUGAAAAGACCGCCUUUUCCCUAUUGCGUGGUUGGCAACCUUGCAAAAGAUUAUUUGACCAUAUAUAUGAGGCUUUAUUUCUGAGCUUUCUAUUCUAUUCCGUCUGUCUAUAUGUCUGUCUCUAUGCAGUACCACACUGUAUUGAUUACUGUGGAUUUGUAGUGAGUUAUAAAAUCUGGAAGUAUGAGUUUUCCACACUUCUUUUUCAAAAUUGAUUUGGAUAUUUGGCAUCACUUGAGAUUCCACUUGAAUUUUAGGAUUUUUUUUCUAUUUCUACAAAAAACAUCAUUGAGAUUUGUAUAGAGAUUACAUUGAAUCUAUAGAUUGCUUUGAGUAGCACUGCUAUCUUACUAAUAUUACGUCUUCUAAUUCAUGAACAUAAAAUGUGUUUUCAUUUAUGUUUUCAUUUAUUUCUUUCAGCAAUGUUUUGUAGUUUUCAUUGUGCAAGUCUUUUACCUCUUUAAGUUGUCAAAUAUUUUACAGUUUUUGAUGUUAUUGUAAAUAAAAUUGCUUAAUAAUUUCUCUUUCAGAUUGUUCAUUGUCAGCAUAUAGAAAUGCAAUUGAUUUUCACUUGUUUGUUUUGCAUCCUACUAUUUUGCCGAAUUUAUUUAUUAGUUUUCAAGUUUUUUUGUGUGUGUGGACAUGUAAGUUUAUAUACUCUGUGAAUGGUGAUAAUUUUACUUCUUCCUUUGUAAUUUGUUUGCCUUUUAUAUGUUUUUCUCGUCUGAUUGCUCUGGCUAGAAUGUCCAGUGAUAACUAUGUUGACUAAAAAUGGUAAAAGUGGUUAUCCUUGCCUGGUUCUUCAUCUUGGGGGAAAAACUUUUAGUCUUUUACUGUUGUGAUGUUUACUGCAGGUUUUUAACAUAUGCCUUUAAUUAUGUUGAGAUAUUUCAGUCUAUUCUUAUUUUGUUGAGAAUUUUUAUCAUGAAAGGAUGUUGAAUUUUCUUGAAAGCUUUUUCUGUGUCAAUUGAAAUAAUUAUGUGUUUUUUUCUUUAUUCCAUUAAUAUUGUAUAUUACAUUGAUCAAUUUUUGUAUGUUGAAUUAUCCUUGCAUUCCAGGAAUAAAUUCUACUUGCUCAUUGUGUAUAAAACUUUCAAUAUACUGCUGAAUUUGAUUUUCUGUUUUUUUGGUUGAGAAAUUUUAGGUAAAUGCUCAUAAGGAAAAUUGAUCUGUAGUUUUCUUGUAGUAAUUUCAUCUGACUGGUAUUAAGAUAAUGUUGGCCUUAUAGAAUGAGUUUGGAAGUAUUACCUCCUAUUCAAUUUUUAGAAAAGUUUGAGAUGGACUGGUUUAAUUCUUUAAAUGUUUGGUAGAAUCAUCAGUGAAACUAUCACAUCUAGGACUUUGCCUGAAAAUCUUUGAUUGUUGAUUCAAUCUCCUUACCAAUUGCAGGUAUAUUCAGAUUUCCCAUUUCCUUGUAAUUUAGUCUUGGUAGAUAUUGCACUUCUAGAAAUUUUUUGUUUCAUCUAGGCUAUCUAAUUUGUUGGUGCACAAUUGUUCAUAGUACUUUUUAAAUAAUACUUUUUAUUCCUGUAGAAUCGGUAGAAAUAUCUCCACUUUCUUUUCUGAUGUUAUUAAUAGGAUUUUGUUUUUUUCUUUGUACGUCUAGCUAAAAUUUUAUCAAUUUUCUUGGUCUUUUUAAAAAAUUACCUUUUUGUUUCAUUAAUCUUUAAAUUGAUUUUCUAUUCUCCAUUUUUAAAAUAUUUGCUCUAAUCUCUGAUUUUUUCUUUCUCCAGCUUGCUUUGGAUUUAGUUUGCUCUCCUUUUUCUAAUUCCUUAAAUUGUUAAGUUAGGUUAUUGACUUGGGAUCUGUCUUGUUUUUUAAUGUUACCAUUUAUAGCCACAGAAUUCCCCCUUAGCACUGGUUUUAGUGCAUCCAUAAAUUUUGAUAUAUUCUGUUUUUGUUUUCGUUUGUCUCCAAGAAUUUUCUAAUUACCCUUGUAAUUUCUUCUUUAUUUCAUUAAUUGUUUUAAAAUAUGUUGUUUCAUUUUUAAUAAUUUGUGAAUUUUCCAUUUUUUCUGUUAUUGACUUCUAACUUCAUCUCACUGUGGUCAUAAAAUAUCAUAUCUACAUUUUCAUCUAUUAAGACAUAAUUUCAGGCCUCACAUAUGGCCUAUUCUGGAAAAUGUUCCAUGUUUACUUGAGAAAAAUGUGUAUGCCAUUGUUCAUGGGUAGAAUGUUCUGUAUAUGUCUGUUAGAUUUAGUUGGUCUGUUGCAUUAUUUAAGUCUUCUAUUUCCUUAUUUUUGUCUGAUUGUUUUAUACUUCAGUGAGAGGAGGGUAUUGAAGUCUCCAAAUACUAUUGUUUACCUGUCUAUUUCUCUCUUCAGUUUUGUCAGUUUUUGCUUCAUGUAUUUUGAUAAUCUGUGAUUAGGCAUGUAAAUAUUUGUGAUUAGUAUAAUUGUAUUUAUUAUGAUUAUACAUAAUUAUAAUUAUAAUUAUAAUUAUUUAUUGUUGCUGUAUUGGAUCUUUUAUUAAUAUGCAAUAUUUAUCACUUGUACAUUUUUUGAUUUAAAGUUUAUUUUGUUUAUUAGUAUAGCUGAUAUACUUUGAUAUAGUAAAUAUCAAAGUUUAUUUUCGAUAUUAGUAUAGCUGCUCCUGAUCUAUUUUGUUUGCUAUUUGACUGAAAUAUCUUUUUCCAUCCUUUUUACUGUCAAUCUAUUUGUGUUUUUGGCUCUCAAAUUAGUCUCUGGUAAACAGCAUGUAGUUGGAUUAUGUGUUUUCUUUAAUCCAUUAUGCAUAUCCCUGUCUUUUGAUUAGAUAAUUUAAUACAUUUACAUUUAAAGUAAUUACUGAUAAAAAGAGACUUCUGUCAUAGCUUUCUGUUUCUAAAUAUCUUGUAGGUUUUUGGCUUUCAUUUCUUACAUUACAAAUUUUGUAUUUAUCUGAAAUUUUUGUAGUGAACUGUUUGCAUUUCUUUCUUAUUUUCCUUUUUGUAUAUUCUGUAGCUAUUUUCCUUGUUGUUACCAUAAAGAUUAUAUUUACCUGCAUAAAUUUAUGUCAGAUUAAUUCAAAUAACAUAUAAAUACUGUUUCUCUGUCCCAACCCUUUCAGUUGUUGAUAUCAUAAAAUUAUGCUUUUAGAGAUUGUGUGCCCAAAAACAAAGUAAUAAGUAUUUUAAAAGUCUUUUGAAUUAUGUAGAAAAACAUGUGGAGUUCUAAUUAAAGUUGUAUUAAUACCACCUGUUAGACAAGAAAAUAUUUUUUAAAAUGUAUAUGUUUCUUAAGUCAUGUGCAUUAAAAAAGUAGAGUUAUAAGCCUUUGUUAGAAUAACGCUAGCUUUUAUAAUUGCCAUAUAUUUCCCUUUAUUGAAACAUUUAUUUCUUUAAAUGGCUUUGAGUUAUUGCAUAGUCUUCUUUCAUUUCAUCCUCCAAGAUUCCCUUGAGAAUUCCGGGCAUUUUAAGUCUCAGAGAAAUAGACUCCCUCAGAUUUUCUUUAUCUGAGGAUGUCUAAGUGCUCCCUCAGUUUUGAAGGACAGUUUUGCCAGAUACCAAAUUCUUGUUUGACAGUUUUUGUUUUGUUUUGUUUUAUUUUGGCCCUUUUAAUAUAUAAGUCCACUGACUUCUUGGACCUGAAGUGUCUGAUGAGGAAUCUUCUGAUAAACUUCUGAUAAACUUAUUGCUGCAUUUGAUCACAGAGGUGCCAACAAAGAUGUAGGUGCUUAUUGCUUUUGCACAUCCCUCCAUUGUUAAAGCCCCUCCCUUCUGCUAACAUUACUUUCAGGAGAUUUAGAGAGCCAGUACUUUUCCCUACUUCCAUUAUUCUCUUUUAUUCUUUUUUGUGUAUGAGACAUUAAAGAUUGGGCCAUUCAGAAAGCAACUGCAUAUAUAGGAAAAAAAAAAUUAAAAGGGAAAAGUUCAGGCUCAGAAAAAAACCUGAUAAUACCUUAAGUUUAGAUGUUAGUCUGAUCCUGAGCACAGGGAAAACUUCAACAGUUAAGAAAAAUAGAAAGCAAUAAACAAAUAAACAAAAAUAACAAAAAACGGCAAACCUUAGGAAGGGGGAAAAUAUGAUUUCUAGAAAUACCAGAUUAUUUGAUUGAAAUGUCCAGUUUUCAACAAAAAAUUACAAAGCAUACCAAGAAAGAGGAAAAUACGGCCCUUUUAUGUUACAAGUCAUUUCUCUCAUGAAGCUUUCAAAUUCUCUUUUUGUGUUUGGCUUUAAAGAGUUUGUAAUGUGCCUUGUGGAUCUCUGAGUUCAUCUUACUUGAAGUUCAUUGAGCUUCUUGGGUGUUUAUAUUCAUAUAUUUUAUCAAAUUUGAGAAGUUUUCAGCCAUUAUUUUUCCAAAUAUUCUCUUUUCUUUUAUCUCUCUUUCCUUCUGGAACUACCAUAAUGCACAUGUUGAUUUGCUUAAUGGUACCCUACGAGUUUCUUAGGCUCUGUUCACUUUUCUUUAAUCUUUUUUCUUUCUGUUUCUCAGACUUGAUCAUUUCAAUUAUCCUAUCUUCAGGUUCACUGAUUCUUUAUUCUGCCUGCUGAAAUCUGUCUUUGAAUCUCCUUAGUCAAUUUUUUAUUUCAAUUAUUGUGUUUUCAGCUCUUUUUGGUCCUUUUUUUAUUUCUUUAUUGACAUUUCUAUUUUGUUAAUACAUUUUUCUCUGAUCUUUGUGGACAUAUUCCUUUGAUUCUUGAAGCAACUUUAAGACAUUUUAAAGUCAUUGUCUAGAAGAUCUACAAUCAGGUCUUUUUCAUGGCUGGUAUCGGUUGACUUAUUUUUUUCCUUUGAAUGGGCCAUAUUUCCCUCUUUCUUGAUAUGCUUUUUAAUUUUUUGUUGAAAAUGGGGCAUUUGAAUCAAAUCAUCUGAUAAUUCUGGAAAUCAUAUUUUCCCCUUCUCAAGAUUGCUAUAUUUUGUUAUUCUUUUUUGUUUAUUGUUUUCUUUUGUUCUUAAUUGUUGCAGUCUUCUCUGUGCUCAGAAUUAGACUGACUUCUAAACUUAAGGUAUUCUCAAGGUCUUUUCUGAGCCUGAAUCUUUCCCUGGACAUGCAUGAGCACUUUUAAUUUUUUCCCCUUAUAUUCAAUUGCUUUCUGAUGGCCCAAUCUUUAAUGUAUGGUGCUCUAAAAGGAAAAAAAGAGAAUAAUGAAAGUAGAGAAGAGUGCUGGCCCUUUAAAUCUCCUGGAAGUAAUGUUAGCAGAAGGGAGGGGCUUUAACAAUGGAGGGAUGUGCAAAAGCAAUGGCCACUCACACCUUUGUUGCCACCUCUGUGAUCAAAUGCAACAAUAAGCAACCACAGCACAGAUCCUUGAUAUUUGGAGAACACAUUAUUUUUUUUGCUUACCCUGGCUCCUACAACCUUUUAGUGAACUGCUCUCAGCACUCAUGCACAGCUGCCUGUCAUAAAAUUAACCACAAUUUGCUGUCCAAGUCUUUCCCUGGAAGUUACAAGCCUUCAAUAGAACCCAGAGUUACAAAAAAUUAUAUGAGACUGAUUUUUCCAGUGUAAUUAUUGUUCAGAUAUGGAGACAGAUUUUUGGUGCUUCCUACUGUGCCAUCUUCCCAGCUCCACAAUAUACAUUUACUUCUCAAAACAAUUAGAUGAGAGACAGAUAUGGAAAUUGAGGAAAAGAAGUGCUCAAUAGAUUGACCAAGAUUUCAUAUUUGGCUGUAGAGCUGGGAUUUAAAUCUAGCAGGUCUGAUUCCUGAACCCACACUCUUAACCACCAUGCUAUACAACCUCUCUCUGUGACUCUUCAUGUCCUCUGUGGCCCUCUAUGAUGAUAUACUUUACACUGUAUUAAUAAGUACUAGAAAACUGAAGUUACAUUCAUACUUUUAAUUGUAUACAUUUUAAUUGCACACUUGUAUUUUAAAAGACUGUACAAAAAUGCUUAGUGACUAUUUCAAAGUCUGGCUGUCAAGGCUAUAGGAAAUUUUCAUUCAAUUGAGCAAUGAGUCUUUCUCGUUAAGAAUAUGGAAGUUGUGAAAUCUGUUUAUUUUCUCUUUUCUUUGAAUCUUUUCAUGUGUCAGCUGUAAUGCUGUUUGAAUCAAAGACAUUUGAUUACCAUCUAUGUUCUUCCCCUAAACUGAAUGGAGAGCUUUGAGGAAGAUUGGCAGGCUUGCAUAAUGGACUAUUUUGACAUUUGCAAAGUAUUGCAACAGGAAAGAACUUACAACUCCUCUGCUCUAUGGUUGUCAAAGCACAAUUCAGUGCCAGACUUGGCAGGGGUUUCAGAGCUUUUUGCUUCACCAAGUAUUGGUUCCCUAAAAAGUCCAAGCCAUCAUCUCGUUCUAUUCUACAAAGGCAGCACCAUUGGAUAGAUAGUAUAAAAGUCUAUAAUAGUUGUUCCUCCAUGUGAAAAAGAUCCCCCUUUUUCUAAGUGCUUUUAGCAGAAAAUAAUAUAUAUAUAUAUAUAUUCAUUGGAUAGGAGAAAAAAAGGCAAUUCAGCCUUUUUGUAAUUUACCCAUCCCUCCUUAGUGGAACUAUCACUUGAUUUAGUAUGAAAGUGUUAGGGGUGAGAAGACAGGAAAAUCAUAUGAUGUAACAUUCAUUCUUCCCCAUUUUCUCAGCAGUUACACUAGUGGUGCUUCUUAAUUUUAAGACUUUUCUGCUGCUUCAUACCUGAUAACAAAUUGUAUUAUCAAAGCCUGUCACAAAAAAAUUCUGUGAAAUUUUAAAUGCCAACUCCAUAAGCUAUAUAAAGUUUUUCCAGUUUAGAUAUCAAUGUGAUAAAUUAUACUGUCAAACACUUUUUAAUACUUGAUGACAUAAAUAGCUUUGAAAAACUGAUGAUUUAGGAUUAAUUACCUCCAAGUUCUCUUGACUAGCACAAUAUUCCUAACUAGUUCAUUUUCAGAAAAAGUAUUUCUCCAAUGCAUUAGAAAAAAUUGCUCCCCACAUUCUACUCCAGGCCAUAAUAGGAAGUAGAAAAAUCCUGUAGAUCCAAAAUAAGAAAGGUUAUAAGGCAAAAUUUCUACAAACAUAUUGCCAACAUGUAUAUCUGAAUGUUGAACAAAGCCUCUUUCCUUAUAGAUGGAAGCACACUGUUCUCGCUAUUUUUGUAGAUCCACCUCAAUGAAUAACAGCAAAAUAUCUUAUCCAGAUAAAAGAUAUGUUUUCUAAAUAUUGAAUGAUGAAUGGCCUAUAGUCCAUCAUGUGUUCCCUCCUAGAGAAGGUAACCAGCCAAGGGAAAUAUUUCAUUCCUCAGAGUCUAAACAAAACGUGGAAAAAAAUCACCAUGAAUGGUGGGAAUCCAGCAGAAGACAGAGAACUGGGAGAACAACAGUGCUAGGAAACAGAAGAUUUUAAGAAAUGAAAAAAUAAGUUGGUCAUCCGACAAUGUAGUCUGAGUUAGUUGCUAGGGAUUGAAUCCAAUACAAUAGUUUAGAUCUUAAAUAUAUUUGAA
RNAcentral lists this long non-coding RNA (9335 nucleotides) under Homo sapiens (human). Its description in RNAcentral is "HSALNT0328654". Lineage: Eukaryota; Metazoa; Chordata; Mammalia; Primates; Hominidae. The record is from RNAcentral.